Molecule: ribosomal RNA, 253 nt
Filed under: uncultured bacterium
Lineage: Bacteria
Description: partial 16S ribosomal RNA
Rfam family: Bacterial small subunit ribosomal RNA
Source: RNAcentral
GACGAGGGGUCCUAGCGUUGUUCGGAAUCACUGGGCGUAAAGCGUAUGUAGGCGGCCUUACAAGUCAGGUGUGAAAUCCCACGGCUUAACCGUGGAACUGCACUUGAAACUGUAGGGCUUGAAUAUCGGAGAGGAUAGUAGAAUUCCAGGUGUAGUGGUGAAAUACGUAGAUAUCUGGAGGAAUUCCGGUGGCGAAGGCGGCUAUCUGGCCGAAUAUUGACGCUGAGAUACGAAAGCGUGGGGAUCAAACAGG